GAUGAACGCUGGCGGCGUGCCUAAUACAUGCAAGUCGAACGCGCAGCGAGAGGUGCUUGCACCUUUCAAGCGAGUGGCGAACGGGUGAGUAACACGUGGAUAACCUGCCUCAAGGCUGGGGAUAACAUUUGGAAACAGAUGCUAAUACCGAAUAAAACUUAGUAUCGCAUGAUAUAAAGUUAAAAGGCGCUACGGCGUCACCUAGAGAUGGAUCCGCGGUGCAUUAGUUAGUUGGUGAGGUAAAGGCUCACCAAGACAAUGAUGCAUAGCCGAGUUGAGAGACUGAUCGGCCACAUUGGGACUGAGACACGGCCCAAACUCCUACGGGAGGCUGCAGUAGGGAAUCUUCCACAAUGGGCGCAAGCCUGAUGGAGCAACGCCGCGUGUGUGAUGAAGGCUUUCGGGUCGUAAAGCACUGUUGUAUGGGAAGAACAGCUAGAAUAGGGAAUGAUUUUAGUGUGACGGUACCAUACCAGGAAGGGACGGCUAAAUACGUGCCAGCAGCCGCGGUAAUACGUAUGUCCCGAGCGUUAUCCGGAUUUAUUGGGCGUAAAGCGAGCGCAGACGGUUGUUUAAGUCUGAUGUGAAAGCCCGGAGCUCAACUCCGGAAAGGCAUUGGAAACUGGACAACUUGAGUGCAGUAGAGGUAAGUGGAACUCCAUGUGUAGCGGUGGAAUGCGUAGAUAUAUGGAAGAACACCAGCGGCGAAGGCGGCUUACUGGACUGUAACUGACGUUGAGGCUCGAAAGUGUGGGUAGCAAACAGGAUUA
Molecule: ribosomal RNA, 770 nt
Filed under: uncultured Leuconostoc sp.
Lineage: Bacteria; Bacillati; Bacillota; Bacilli; Lactobacillales; Lactobacillaceae
Description: bacterial SSU rRNA
Rfam family: Bacterial small subunit ribosomal RNA
Source: RNAcentral